GUUUUCCCCUAUCCUGAGAGGCAUGAGGCCUGGCUCCAUACAUAGAAGAUAGGCCUGCUUCCUGUGUGGAAGUGCCUGCCUGUCCACUGUCCCCCCCCCCCAGUGUGAACCAAAAAAGUGAACCACAAACCAUUCAUUUUUUGAGGGGGAAGUUUGUGGAAGUUUGUGGUUUGUGUGCUACAAACCUCAAACCAUCACGAACCACUGCUUUUCUGGUUUGUGCCCAUCUAUACUCUGUCAUCCAUGGAGAGGUUUCCAUGCCUCUAAUGGUGGAACUGAAAGAGAGGGUGCAGAUGCAAGGAGAGGAAACAACUAUUCCACCAAUAGUAACCAUCCAGCUGAAACAGAAGGAGACUCCCCCCCCCGCAUGAUUGGUAUCAGGAGCCUUCACAAUUGGAAAGUUCACAUGAACAUAAAACAAGGACAGUGAAAUGUAUGCAUCACAGCAUAUGAGAUCAGAUAAACAUGUUUAUGAAGCAUGUAUUGCAGGACAGCUCUGAAGGAAUAUCCAGGAAUGUUUGCUUUUGAGAAACACACAAUUGGGCAGGUUCAAAUUUUCAGAUUUCUGUUCCCUAAGCAAACUUCUGACCUCUACACCAUUUGCUGUGGAUGUUCACAAGAUGUGAGAGAAGAAACAGUAAGGUUUCUCUCUGUAUAUCACAGUAGCUGUUGCACCGGCAUGUGUGCAGUGAGACCCACAAAAACACAGGUGAUUUUAAGAAACAGCAAAUUUUUAUUAAGAAAGUUAUGUUUUAGAUAGAAAAGCCUAUAAUCCUAACUAGAUGAAAAUGUGCCCUGGGGACACGUGAGAGAUGAGUACAACUUAUCUACCCAUUUGGAAAAG
This 844-nucleotide long non-coding RNA is filed under the name Pogona vitticeps (central bearded dragon). Its description in RNAcentral is "lncRNA (ENSPVIG00000001591.1)". The record is from RNAcentral. Lineage: Eukaryota; Metazoa; Chordata; Lepidosauria; Squamata; Agamidae.